GACGAACGCUGGCGGCGUGCUUAACACAUGCAAGUCGAACGGAAAGGCCCUUCGGGGUACUCGAGUGGCGAACGGGUGAGUAACACGUGGGUGAUCUGCCCUGCACUUUGGGAUAAGCCUGGGAAACUGGGUCUAAUACCGGAUAGGACCACGGCAUUCAUGUGCUGUGGUGGAAAGCUUUUGCGGGGUGGGAUGGGCCCGCGGCCUAUCAGCUUGUUGGUGGGGUAAUGGCCUACCAAGGCGACGACGGGUAGCCGGCCUGAGAGGGUGACCGGCCACACUGGGACUGAGAUACGGCCCAGACUCCUACGGGAGGCAGCAGUGGGGAAUAUUGCACAAUGGGCGCAAGCCUGAUGCAGCGACGCCGCGUGAGGGAUGACGGCCUUCGGGUUGUAAACCUCUUUCGCCAGGGACGAAGCGCAAGUGACGGUACCUGGAGAAGAAGGACCGGCCAACUACGUG
RNAcentral lists this ribosomal RNA (462 nucleotides) under uncultured bacterium. Its description in RNAcentral is "partial 16S ribosomal RNA". It matches the Rfam family "Bacterial small subunit ribosomal RNA", at positions 28 to 507 of the family's 1533-position model. The record is from RNAcentral.